ACAGAAAAGUCCUGUGCCCUGGUAGCAAGAUAUACUCUGUACACACCACACAUCGCAUCUCAAUUUCAUCUGCACAUAGGACCACAUAUUAACUGAGGAAGGAGUCAGGGACAAGCAAAAAAAAAGCAUAAUUACAAAUAUCCAAUUCGUUUUUAAAUGACCUAUUCAGAAUGCAUUAUUUUAAUUAUGUUGUGCCGUGUUUUGUUUUGGUAAUGUUGUUUUGAAUCAGUCCCUAACAUGGAUGACUGGAGAGCAGUGAAUGAGGAUUUCAACCCCAAGGAUUAUAGCCUUCUUCAAGCCUGCACCAUUUGAAUUCUAAAAGCCAAGAAAAAGUCCAAGAAGGGGAAAAUAGGAAAACAAAAAGAAAAUAAAAGGGAAUGGAAGAGGGUUCCAGGAUUCUAGAGACCUAAAGGUCAUUAUCUAAUAUAAGGUGACAGGAAGUCAUGGAAGGUCUACAAACAGAAGAAUACAGCAACUUUGAGCAAAUGGACCAACAGAAAAUAUUCCAAAUCAUUUUCCGAUUUAGUUGUAGGAUUGCAUUGUAGAGCUUAAUUAAUUGGCAAUUACCAGACUUGUGAAUAUUUUCAGUUUGUGCUUAAGUUUACUGGUCCCUUCCACUUUCUCAUUGAAAUGCCAGCUUCAUCCAUGUCUUUUUAUUUUCCCACCCAUGACUUAUUCUAGUCAAUAAAAGAAUGCUGGUGGCUUUA
Long non-coding RNA from Mesocricetus auratus (golden hamster), 707 nucleotides. RefSeq lists it as uncharacterized. Lineage: Eukaryota; Metazoa; Chordata; Mammalia; Rodentia; Cricetidae. The record is from RefSeq and is a predicted model, not a curated record. The transcript has 2 exons.